UACAUACACAUGCCUUUUCAAUUUAGUCCUAGUGCUUUUAUUUAUUUAUUUAUUUUUUGUAGGUUGGUGCUGAGAGAUUUGAUAAAGAAUAUGCAUAUGGCAUACAGCACAACUACGGAAAAGAAGGAAAGAGAAUGGUCACUGGAAUUGGCGUUUUGCAUUCUUUGUGGAGGCAAUUGUGAUGGUUCCAUUUGCUAUUCUAGGUUUUGUUAUAAAACCUUUACAGUUGAAAGGUAUAUGUUGUGUUAGUUUUAAUUUUUUUUUUAUGUAAUCUAUUACCAUUUCCUAGCUAUUCUUAACAACUUGUGGAUACAUGUUUUUACCCUGCUGGAUCAAAAAAAGCAUUGACUGGUACAGAGAUAGCUGUCAUAGAACUUAAAGAGAUUGAGAAGUUUAUGAGGAAGACCAAGGAUCAAGCAGGCAUGCAGGUUGAUGAAAACGAUUAUUCAUCAGAGGAAUCUUAUUGACAAACACUUUUAUUAGCAAUGGUGGAAAAUAGUUUGGGCUGCAUCAGAAGAUUUGAUUUUGUGUUUUUGGAAAUAUUUUGACAUAGGAUUUUGGUAAAUUAUUUAUGGAUUAAAUGUUUAGCAUCAAAAUAUUUGGUGUUGUGUUUUUGCAAAUAUUUUGAUAUAGGAUUUUAGUAAAUGACUUGUUGGUUAGAUGUUUAACAUUAAAAUAUUUGGUUGUAAUUUUGAAAAUAUUUUGACAUAGGAUU
This is a non-coding RNA of Camellia sinensis, 715 nucleotides long. Lineage: Eukaryota; Viridiplantae; Streptophyta; Magnoliopsida; Ericales; Theaceae. The record is from RefSeq and is a predicted model, not a curated record.